CCCAACUCCGACCACCUCCUCCCCUCCCCGCACCCACCCCCCUCUUCCCCGGCGAGCUAGGCGUGGAUUCGAGAGCGGCCGGCGGGCGCUGCGGCGGAGGUCCCCGCCGAAUUCACUCUGAUUCCUCCCCGCGGCGAGCACCCCGUCCAUGGACGGCGCCGGCGCGUGGCCUGCUAAGCAACUCCCAUUUCUCCCCGCCAAUCUCUCUGUCUAAUCUAGCACACGGCUACUGAUGGGUCCUCCGGCCUACACCGCUUCCCUCUCUCCCGGUUCUACUCUCUUCUCCAACUCCCGAAUGCCGCCGCCGCCGGCGCCGCCGUGUCUUCUCCGGCCGGGCCUGGGGGUGUCGGGGAGAGCGGAGGUGGGCGUGUCAUCGGCCGCCGGUAGGUACGGCGGCGGUCGCCUCACCGCGCCGCAGGAGAAGCGCCGCUCCGCACCGCCGCAGGAGAAGCGCCGCCCCUCGGACUCAUCCCAACUGCCGGAACGGAAGCGGCAUUGGAAAGCGGGGGAGUUCCCGGGGGCCGGCGGCGGCAGGGACGGCGGCCGCGCCGCCCCGCCGCAGGAGAAGCGGCACUGGAAGGCGGGGGAGUUCCCGGUGCCCUCCGCCGGCGGCAGGGACGGCGGCCGCCCCGCCCCGCGGCAGGAGAAGCGACACUGGAAGGUGGGGGAAUUCCCGGGGACCUCCGCCGGCGGCCCCGAUUCGAAGGCGGCGAGGACUCCCAUCAAGAACGUCAAGAAGCGGCUGGACGCCCGCGCGGACGCCAAGGCGUGGGCGUGCACCGUCACCGAGGCCCUCGCCGACCGCAUCAACUCCAAGAAUUGGAAAGAGGCGCUCCAGGUCUUUGAGAUGCUCAAGGAGCAGCCUUUCUACCAUCCAAAAGAAGGCACCUACAUGAAGCUCAUCGUGCUGCUUGGUAGAUCCGGCCAGGCUGCCCAAGCGCACCAACUCUUCAACGAGAUGCUGCAACAAGGAUGCCAACCCACCCCUGAGCUCUACACUGCCUUGAUUGGAGCCUACUGCCGUAGCGGCCUAAUGGAUGAUGCGCUCCAGCUCCUCACUGACAUGAAGUCCUCUCCUCUGUGCCAGCCUGAUGUCUACACCUACAGCACCAUCAUCAAGGCCUGUGUUGAUGCCACCAGGUUUGAUCUCAUUGAUGCUAUGUACAAAGACAUGGCUGAGCGCUUGAUAUCACCCAACACGGUCACGCAGAACAUUGUCCUCAGUGGCUACGGAAAGGCUGGACGGUUGGAUGACAUGGAGAGAGUGCUCUCUGACAUGCUUGACAGCACAACCUGCAAACCAGAUGUCUGGACAAUGAACAUUAUCUUAAGCCUGUUUGGAAACAUGGGGCAGAUUGAAUCAAUGGAGAAAUGGUAUGAGAAAUUCCGAAGCUAUGGGAUCGAACCAGAAACUCGCACGCUUAACAUUCUCAUUGGUGCCUAUGGGAAGAAGCGAAUGUAUGAUAAGAUGUCUGCAGUUAUGGAGUACAUGCGCAAGCUAGCGUUUCCAUGGACUACUGCCACGUACAACAAUGUGAUUGAGGCAUUUGCUGAGGCGGGUGAUGCCAAAAAUAUGGAACACACAUUUAACCAGAUGCGCUCUGAGGGGAUGAAGCCAGAUACAAAGACCUUCUGUUGUCUAAUAAAUGGGUUUAGCAAAGCAGGCCUUUUCCAUAAGGUGGUGGGCAUGGUCAAGCUUGCUGAGAGACUUGAUGUGCCUGCAAAUACGUCUUUCCACAAUGCUAUUCUUGAGGCAUGCGCAAAAGCAGAUGAUCUGAUGGAGAUGGAGAGGGUCUUCAUGCACAUGAAGCAUAAGCAGUGUGAUCCGGAUGCCAUGACAUAUUCUAUCUUGGUGGAAGCUUAUCGUAAGGAAGGAAUGACUGACAAGAUUUAUGCUUUGCAUCAGGAGAACCCAACUUUGGUUCCAACUGAUUUUGUCAUGGUGUAACUGACUCGCUGACUGAAUAAUGGUUCAGACAUAUUUAGGCAUGGCUGCAUUGGUGGAAAAGUUCUUUACUGUCCACGUUUGGAGUUGAUAAUGCUACCAAGUAGAGUGGCAGCCAUUCUCGAACUUCAUUUUGUCAGUUGGCCUGCAGAGUUAGUAUCUGUAUCUCCUUCCAUGAACUCUGGGGGGUUUCACUAUAUCAAUUGAAAUAGGUCAGUAAUGUCUGUAGCUCUGAUACGAGAAGUCAUACGGCUUGAAAGCUCCCCAGCAAGAUGUGGCCAUCUUGAGAUGCUUUGAGUUUAGCACAGAGUUGAUCAAUGGUAACAAAAUUAUUAAAAAAAUGUGGAUUCCUGCAUAAAAAGGAAGGUUCGAUUGGAGUCUACAGAAAGCUCUUGGAGUGGCCUCUAUGGGUAAGGGAGAAAUAGCCGGUAUGUGAAGUGCCUGAAAACCUUUUACUUCAAGCUCUUCUAGAUCAAGCUUGCUAGUUGGUGCAAAGCUUCCUUGGGCUUGUCUGUAUGAUGGUGAACCCCACAGACAUGUCCAACAAGAGUACUCUUGCCGACUCUACAGGAAGGCCCAGGACCGACAGUUGGUAGGACCUCAAGUUCUUCAGCACCAUGAGGUUGUGUGUGCAACAGAAAGUUGAUAACAAGUUCUGCUUCCAUCUGCCGGGCAAACAUGCCGUUGCCCAACAGGAGAUGCAUGCUGUAAGGUUGGCGGUACUGGCGAGGGUAGCUUGUCAGGAAGAGCGCAAGCUCAUUUGCAUCAAGGAUGACGGACCUCAAAUUGUCAAGUGCCACUCGCAUUCCUUCAAGAAUCUGUGCACCUCUACCGGAGAAACAGAAGCCUUUCCUAGAAUUUACUUUGGACAAAGAUGAAGAGUGACUCACAGGCUGAUCUUUGGCAUCCUCCUCGUCAUGAGGUUGGUAUCUGAAGGUGUCGAGCAUGUAGUGGCCCUUGUGCAUGGCGUUUCUCAGCAUAUUCAGCUGGUGGAGCAUGGCUUGGUUUGCGAUGUGCUGUCCCAUGGCCUCAUCGACAAUGACCUGUGCCCGCAGGAGAGCCCUUUGCAGGCUGUCCUCCAUUUCCAGUGCUGGCGGCUUGGAACACUUGUUGAUGAUGAAAUUUAUGGAUCUGGAGGCCAGUUCACCCAGGAUGGAAGCAACUAAAAGCUCCAUUUGGGGCUCUUUCCUCAGGAAGAUAAUGCAGGAGAUAGGCAAGACUAUAGGCAGCAAGUAUGAUGUUUCUGAAACUCUCUAUGUUCUAUAUUCCCUAUCAAAAAUCCAAGGAGAGCAAGGAUGUAUAAGAGCAACUGAACUCAAGGAUAAACUGAGAGAGUCAAUAGUCCAUGAAAACCAUGUUUGACCUUUGGAGUUGGGAUCACUUUUGCCUUCGGCUGAUUGUUCUGAUCUACUAGCUGUGUGAACAGAAACAGCCAUUGACUGCUGAAUCCUGAGCCUUUGCUUCGUAAAGCACUGAUCCAUCACCAUUUAUGAUUUAUGUAAUUGAUUCCUUACUCUUCCUGUUUCUAGUCUUGGAUCUAAGACAGAGGUCUUGAUCAAAUACUUGUCUUCGCAUAAUGAAUAGCACUCUUGUUGCAAGGAGUCCAGCCUCCAAUAUGGAGAUGCUUUGUCUGCUACUCCUGGGAAACAUGCUAUAAUAAUUAUAUAUCAAAACUUGGCGUGUGUUUUUUCUUC
Molecule: RNA transcript, 3639 nt
Organism: Setaria italica (foxtail millet)
Lineage: Eukaryota; Viridiplantae; Streptophyta; Magnoliopsida; Poales; Poaceae
Gene name: pentatricopeptide repeat-containing protein At3g06430, chloroplastic
Exons: 5
Source: RefSeq, a predicted model, not a curated record